UACGUAGGGUGCAAGCGUUGUCCGGAAUUAUUGGGCGUAAAGGGCUCGUAGGCGGUCUGUUGCGUCGGGAGUGAAAACUUACAGCUUAACUGUGAGCGUGCUUUCGAUACGGGCAGACUAGAGGUAUGCAGGGGAGAACGGAAUUCCUGGUGUAGCGGUGAAAUGCGCAGAUAUCAGGAGGAACACCGGUGGCGAAGGCGGUUCUCUGGGCAUGAUCUGACGCUGAGGAGCGAAAGUGUGGGGAGCGAACAGG
RNAcentral lists this ribosomal RNA (253 nucleotides) under uncultured bacterium. RNAcentral describes it as "partial 16S ribosomal RNA". It matches the Rfam family "Bacterial small subunit ribosomal RNA", at positions 524 to 776 of the family's 1533-position model. The record is from RNAcentral.